This 514-nucleotide ribosomal RNA is filed under the name uncultured bacterium. RNAcentral's name for it is "bacterial SSU rRNA". It matches the Rfam family "Bacterial small subunit ribosomal RNA", at positions 1001 to 1509 of the family's 1533-position model. The record is from RNAcentral.
CAGAGAUGCUUUCGGUUGGCCUUCGGGAACGUACUGAGGACAGGUGCUGCAUGGCUGUCGUCAGCUCGUGUUGUGAAAUGUUGGGUUAAGUCCCGCAACGAGCGCAACCCUUAUCCUUUGUUGCCAGCGGCUCGGCCGGGAACUCAAAGGAGACUGCCGGUGAUAAACCGGAGGAAGGUGGGGAUGACGUCAAGUCAUCAUGGCCCUUACGGCCAGGGCUACACACGUGCUACAAUGGCGCAUACAAAGAGAAGCGACCUCGCGAGAGCAAGCGGACCUCACAAAGUGCGUCGUAGUCCGGAUUGGAGUCUGCAACUCGACUCCAUGAAGUCGGAAUCGCUAGUAAUCGUAGAUCAGAAUGCUACGGUGAAUACGUUCCCGGGCCUUGUACACACCGCCCGUCACACCAUGGGAGUGGGUUGCAAAAGAAGUAGGUAGCUUAACCUUCGGGAGGGCGCUUACCACUUUGUGAUUCAUGACUGGGGUGAAGUCGUAACAAGGUAAGCGUAGCGAG